UGGGGAAUAUUGGACAAUGGGCGCAAGCCUGAUCCAGCCAUACCGCGUGAGUGAAGAAGGCCCUCGGGUUGUAAAGCUCUUUUGUUGGGAAAGAAAUCCUGUUGGCUAAUACCCGGCAGGGAUGACGGUACCCAAAGAAUAAGCACCGGCUAACUUCGUGCCAGCAGCCGCGGUAAUACGAAGGGUGCAAGCGUUACUCGGAAUUACUGGGCGUAAAGCGUGCGUAGGUGGUUCGUUAAGUCUGAUGUGAAAGCCCUGGGCUCAACCUGGGAAUUGCAUUGGAUACUGGCGGGCUAGAGUACGGUAGAGGGUAGUGGAAUUCCUGGUGUAGCAGUGAAAUGCGUAGAGAUCAGGAGGAACAUCCGUGGCGAAGGCGACUACCUGGACCAGUACUGACACUGAGGCACGAAAGCGUGGGGAGCAAACAGGAUUAGAUACCC
This 440-nucleotide ribosomal RNA is filed under the name uncultured bacterium. Its description in RNAcentral is "bacterial SSU rRNA". It matches the Rfam family "Bacterial small subunit ribosomal RNA", at positions 355 to 787 of the family's 1533-position model. The record is from RNAcentral.